UAUCUAAACGGAGAGAUUCAAUACUGAACUUAACACUCAGUGUGCACUUCUCUCUUAGUAAGACGCCGUGAUCCAUUAGAAAUUGGUAGACGCCAGUCUAUAUGAGGUCAUCAAUGGGCUUGUACGAAGUUUAUUGGAACGAAUGGCAUAAUCUUUCAACGGUUGUGUGUAUUGUCUGGUAAGCGUGCGAGUACUCGUAAUGACUGUCUGAUGGAUUUUAAAGAUUGUAUCACUGAUGUUACGGCAUCACUCGCUUCGGCGAGCGUUUGAUAUGUAUCCGAUCAACGGCGGUUAAAUUUGGGAUACCUUUUGGACCCGUCUUGAAACACGGACCAAGGAGUCUAUCUAAUGUGCGAGUAAAUGAGUUGUAAACUUAUUUGCGUAAUAAACGUAACUAUUUAAUGGGAUUACGAGUCACCAUGCUCUUCCAUCCCGGAGUAUUUUCAUCCACAUAUACGCAAGUAUAUGGAAAAUAUAUCAUGAGCAUAUUGGAUACGACCCGAAAGAUGGUGAACUAUGCUUGAUCAGGUCGAAGUCAGGGGAAACCCUGAUGGAGGACCGAAGCAGUUCUGACGUGCAAAUCGAUUGUCAGAAUUGAGCAUAGGGGCGAAAGACCAAUCGAACCAUCUAG
Molecule: ribosomal RNA, 631 nt
Filed under: Pontomyia natans
Lineage: Eukaryota; Metazoa; Arthropoda; Insecta; Diptera; Chironomidae
Description: partial 28S ribosomal RNA
Rfam family: Eukaryotic large subunit ribosomal RNA
Source: RNAcentral